Molecule: ribosomal RNA, 433 nt
Filed under: uncultured bacterium
Lineage: Bacteria
Description: partial 16S ribosomal RNA
Rfam family: Bacterial small subunit ribosomal RNA
Source: RNAcentral
AACGAACGCUGGCGGCAGGCCUAACACAUGCAAGUCGAGCGAGGACUUCGGUCCUAGCGGCGGACGGGUGAGUAACGCGUGGGAACGUGCCCUUUGCUUCGGAAUAGCCCUGGGAAACUGGGAGUAAUACCGGAUGAGCCGUUUGGGGGAAAGAUUUAUCGGCGAAGGAUCGGCCCGCGUUGGAUUAGGUAGUUGGUGGGGUAAUGGCCUACCAAGCCGACGAUCCAUAGCUGGUUUGAGAGGAUGAUCAGCCACACUGGGACUGAGACACGGCCCAGACUCCUACGGGAGGCAGCAGUGGGGAAUCUUAGACAAUGGGGGAAACCCUGAUCUAGCCAUGCCGCGUGAGCGAUGAAGGCCUUAGGGUUGUAAAGCUCUUUCAGCUGGGAAGAUAAUGACGGUACCAGCAGAAGAAGCCCCGGCUAACUCCGUG